CUUGGUCAUUUAGAGGAAGUAAAAGUCGUAACAAGGUCUCCGUAGGUGAACCUGCGGAGGGAUCAUUACAAGUGACCCCGGUCUAAUCACCGGGAUGUUCAUAACCCUUUGUUGUCCGACUCUGUUGCCUCCGGGGCGACCCUGCCCUCGGGCGGGGGCUCCGGGUGGACACUUCAAACUCUUGCGUAACUUUGCAGUCUGAGUAAACUUAAUUAAUAAAUUAAAACUUUUAACAACGGAUCUCUUGGUUCUGGCAUCGAUGAAGAACGCAGCGAAAUGCGAUAAGUAAUGUGAAUUGCAGAAUUCAGUGAAUCAUCGAAUCUUUGAACGCACAUUGCGCCCCCUGGUAUUCCGGGGGGCAUGCCUGUUCGAGCGUCAUUUCACCACUCAAGCCUCGCUUGGUAUUGGGCAACGCGGUCCGCCGCGUGCCUCAAAUCGACCGGCUGGGUCUUCUGUCCCCUAAGCGUUGUGGAAACUAUUCGCUAAAGGGUGUUCGGGAGGCUACGCCGUAAAACAACCCCAUUUCUAAGGUUGACCUCGGAUCAGGUAGGGAUACCCGCUGAACUUAAGCAUAUCAAUAAGCGGAGGA
Molecule: ribosomal RNA, 589 nt
Filed under: uncultured fungus
Lineage: Eukaryota; Fungi
Description: eukaryotic LSU rRNA
Rfam family: 5.8S ribosomal RNA (bases 225-378)
Source: RNAcentral